Molecule: ribosomal RNA, 257 nt
Filed under: uncultured bacterium
Lineage: Bacteria
Description: partial 16S ribosomal RNA
Rfam family: Bacterial small subunit ribosomal RNA
Source: RNAcentral
UACGUAGGAGGCAAGCGUUGUCCGGAUUUACUGGGCGUAAAGCGCGCGCAGGCGGCAUGGCAAGUAAGGUAGUGAAAUCUCCCUGCCUAACGGGGAGGGAGCACCAUAGACUGCCAAGCUAGAGGACGGUAGAGGGGGGGGUAGAAUUGCUGGUGUAGCGGUGAAAUGCGUAGAGAUCAGCAGGAAUACCCGUGGCGAAGGCGGCCCCCUGGGCCGAACCUGACGCCUGAGGCGCGAAGGCUAGGGGAGCGAACGGG